ACGGCGAGCGAAGAGGGAAGAGUCCAGCGCCGAACUCCACCGAAUGUAGGCGGUCGGAGUCUGUGGCGUUAGGGAGGGAGCGUGCCGGUGGACGGACGUCGGAGCAAGUCCUCCUGAACGGGGCUGUUUCCCAGAGCGGGUGCCAGGCCCAUAGGUCCGACGACCCCGCCGGAUAGCGAUCCUCUCCAGAGUCGGGUUACUUGGAAGUGUAACUCUAAGACGGUGGUAAACUCCACCCAAGGCUAAAUACUGCCGUGAGACCGAUAGCGAACAAGUACCGUGAGGGAAAGUUGCAAAGAACUUUGAAGAGAGAGUUCAAGAGUACGUGAAACUGCUGAGAGGCAAACUGGUGGGCCCUCGAAAUCCCGUUUGCGGGGAGAUUCAGUCGGGUGUCGGCGGCCGUCUCUGAAAUGGGUCUGUUGCAACCGAAGAUCGGGGCACAUUCCGGGAGGCGAGUUCCGCUGGAACCCGACGCAUUUCCCGCCCGCACGAAAGGACGCCGCAGCCGGUCGGGUAGCUGCGCGUGUCGGCCAUGAGGACGUUGCAACGGCAGGUGACCGGCGGCCCUAGGCUUCUUCGGAGGCACUAACGGUCGACGGUUGAUUAGCCGGCUCGUCCGUGGCGCGACACCCGACCGAGGUAAUAAUAGAGAAGGAACGGGGGCGUUUCUCCACGGAGAUCGUUCCCGUCUGCAAUCCACUACUUUCA
Molecule: ribosomal RNA, 708 nt
Filed under: Atypoides riversi
Lineage: Eukaryota; Metazoa; Arthropoda; Arachnida; Araneae; Antrodiaetidae
Description: eukaryotic LSU rRNA
Rfam family: Eukaryotic large subunit ribosomal RNA
Source: RNAcentral